Molecule: ribosomal RNA, 120 nt
Filed under: Penicillium nalgiovense
Lineage: Eukaryota; Fungi; Ascomycota; Eurotiomycetes; Eurotiales; Aspergillaceae
Source: RNAcentral
ACAUACGACCAUAGGGUGUGGAAAACAGGGCUUCCCGUCCGCUCAGCCGUACUUAAGCCACCCGCCGGUGAGUUAGUAGUUGGGUGGGUGACCACCAGCGAAUCCUCACUGUUGUAUGUU